RNAcentral lists this ribosomal RNA (345 nucleotides) under uncultured bacterium. RNAcentral describes it as "bacterial SSU rRNA". It matches the Rfam family "Bacterial small subunit ribosomal RNA", at positions 159 to 507 of the family's 1533-position model. The record is from RNAcentral.
GUAGGUAAUACCCGAUUAUCUCCGUGGAGACAAAGGUGUGUAUUCCGCCUGAGGAGCGGCUUAUGCGAUAUUAGCUAGUUGGGUGGGGUAAGUGGCCUACCAAGGACAAAGAUGUCGUAGGGGGUGUGAGAGCAUGGCCCCCACGACCGGAACUGAGACACUGUCCGGACACCUACGGGUGGCUGCAGUCGAGAAUCUUCCGCAAUGGACGAAAGUCUGACGGAGCGACGCCGCGUGCGGGAUGAAGGCCCUUGGGUUGUAAACCGCUGUCAGAGGGGAUGAAAUCUUCGGAGGUACUCCUCCGAAGUUGACAGAGCCUCAAAGGAAGCACGGGCUAAGUACGUG